CGAUAAGUUUCAUAAUACUUCCGCGAGAUAGCGCUGCUUUCUAUGCACUGUCACCAAGGCAAACUUUUUCCUUGCGAAAUAAUGGUCAAUGGUAUUAUUUCGCACGGAGGCUCGCGAAAUUUUGACAGUUUUGAGAAUCAAUAUUUUGAAUUUGAAUGGCACACCCGAACAAAGCAGCCACAAGAGCAGCAUUUUUCGUCAGCAGCAGAAGCAGCAGCCAUCUAUCUACUUGAUAAGUUUUCAUCAACAACAACCAGAUGCUACAAAUCAGCUCAACUUGACUCAACAUCCUGGAUCAGGCAAUCAGCCAACCAACAUUAAAUCGAUACAACCGUAGCAGUACCAACAACUUCAAAUCCAGCAGCUGCGAACAAUCUCUCAAAAAAGAACCACAGCAAUUAUAGCUCAGAACCAACAAAGCAACAAGAGCUUUUUUUACGAAUAAUGGACCCAACGGACACACUUUAUCGGCACAUUCUGUCGUAAAACUUGCCUGCCACUAUUCUUACCAGCGGUUACCUUCCUGAUGUAGAGAAAUCAGAUUCAAACACAAACGUCAUAUUACUGCCUUGGCUCCUACCAGUUGCUUGCAUGAAAAUAUCGCUGCCUCCACAGUGCUCGUGAUUCCAUCCCAGCAGCAGCUAGCAACCACAAUUCCAGUGCUUAUCGCCAGCAACAUCAGAAAAUUAAGAUUUCCCCCAGACCAUGACCAUCAUCCGACAGAUCGGUAGCAACAACGUUCAACUGACGGUAAAACCUGGCCAGCAACCGCAACUAGUGCAAUCGAUCCAAGCCAAUCAGGGCCAAAUGUAGAAGACCAUUGGUCAACCGCAAAAAAAAGAUACAUCAAUAGCACCUUCAAACACAGUAGCAGCAGCAUACUGUACUGUACCACGCCGCGUGCAGGAGGACUUUUUUAUUCAGUUGGUGCAGCAAGAUCGAACAGCAACCAUAGCGGAUACACAUCACCGAACACCAGCAACAUAAUGCCAUGGUAACCACCCAGCAGCAGAACACGGUGAUAAUGGGCCAACAGUAAAUACAACAUCAAGAUCCUCGGAAAGGACUUUCUCUUUCGAACAAACAUAAUGGAAGCAUACUCUACACGCGCGACAUAUUCAAUCGGGCCAACCGUGUGACUCGUUUGGAAAAAAGCGCUCAUCAUCGGUUUCAUGGCAGCGAAGUGAGCAGACAAAAGAAGGCGUUUUUUCCGAAAGGUCGCUCUGGGCAAAAGUUCAGCCAAUUGCAAGGAAUAAACCACCGGAGUGACAGUAUCCGUGCUGUUUAGGACCUUUUUCCAUAUAUUGUAGCUUUUGAAUUUUAAUACCCGGUCGAAACGAUGGCAAGUGCUGCCGAUAACUGGGUUAAAAAGGCGGAGGGAGGAUCAGGAAAUUUCUGCACUCGGUUAUCGAUCUGAGUAUCCCUAAGGAUAAGGAACCAGAGCCGGCGGCUGACAGCCCAAAGAAAGAGAAUGUGGAAAAACCUUCUAGUUCACCGCCAGUAGAACCAGCGAUCAAAUUACUCCCGUAGAAACGGCUGCACCUGCAGUUUUGUUUUCGGUAGCUACAGAAAUUAAGACUUUAGCAGCUCCUGAAGAAAAAAAAGCUGCUAACGAAAAUGGAGAAACAGCUUCCUCCACGGAAGAUGCAGAGGCAUUCAACCCGGCGGAUGCAAGUUUGCUAAUUAAACUUAUUCGCAAAGGUCUAGUAGAAUCAAAGCUGGAUCUGGGGGUGAAGGAUCCUUCUUCGCCGCGAUACUUGGUUAAAACUUUCGAAGCUUUGCACAUGAAUUCGGAACUGCUUCAGGGAGUCUAUACUAUGGGUUUCAACGCUCCUUCCAAGAUUCAGAAGACGGCUCAACCUACUCUGUUGGCCGAUCCGCCACAGAACAUAAUCGCCCAGAGUUGGUCGGGAACAAGAAAAACCACUGCCUUCGUGCUGGCAAUGCUCAAUCGAGUCGAUCCGUUGAAAAACUAUCCGCAGGUGAUUUGCCUUUCCCCACGUAUGAACUGGCAAUUCAGAAGGAGAAAGUAGCUGCAAAACGGCAAAGUUUUGUGCGGAAAUCGAACUUGGUUAAACCGUUCGCGGUGAGAAGAUCGUCAAAGGGGCGAAGCUGACUAAUCAUAUCAUCAUCGGAACAGCCGGGCGUUCGAACUUAAGAAGAUUGCAAUUUUUGUACCGGACGAGGCGGGCGUUAUGAUCGCUGUUUCUUUUUAGCCACGUACGAGCGGGAGGUGAUGGGAUUCGCCCAGUACAUCGUAACCAAUCCGAUCAUGAUUCUUCUGGUGCGGGAGCAAGAAUCACUCGAUAACACCAAACACUCCUACGUCAAAUGCCGCAACCAGGACGAGAAAUAUCAAGCAAUUUCAAACAUGUACGGUGUGAUUACCGUCGGACAAGCGAUCAUUUUCUG
This is a long non-coding RNA of Topomyia yanbarensis, 2412 nucleotides long. RefSeq lists it as uncharacterized. The transcript is spliced from 7 exons. NCBI's taxonomy places the organism in Eukaryota, Metazoa, Arthropoda, Insecta, Diptera, Culicidae. The record is from RefSeq and is a predicted model, not a curated record.